RNAcentral lists this ribosomal RNA (253 nucleotides) under uncultured bacterium. RNAcentral describes it as "partial 16S ribosomal RNA". It matches the Rfam family "Bacterial small subunit ribosomal RNA", at positions 524 to 776 of the family's 1533-position model. The record is from RNAcentral.
UACGUAGGGUGCAAGCGUUGUCCGGAAUUAUUGGGCGUAAAGAGCUCGUAGGCGGUUUGUCGCGUCUGCUGUGAAAACCCGAGGCUCAACCUCGCGCCUGCAGUGGGUACGGGCAGACUAGAGUGCGGUAGGGGAGAUUGGAAUUCCUGGUGUAGCGGUGGAAUGCGCAGAUAUCAGGAGGAACACCGAUGGCGAAGGCAGGUCUCUGGGCAUUAACUGACGCUGAGGAGCGAAAGCAUGGGGAGCGAACAGG